UUCCUGGCUCAGAUUGAACGCUGGCGGCAUGCCUUACACAUGCAAGUCGAGCGGCAGCGCGGGGGCAACCCUGGCGGCGAGCGGCGAACGGGUGAGUAAUACAUCGGAACGUGUCCUGUCGUGGGGGAUAACCAGUCGAAAGACUGGCUAAUACCGCAUGAGAUCGAGAGAUGAAAGCGGGGGACCGCAAGGCCUCGCGCGACAGGAGCGGCCGAUGCCGGAUUAGCUAGUUGGUGGGGUAAAAGCUCACCAAGGCGACGAUCCGUAGCUGGUUUGAGAGAACGACCAGCCACACUGGGACUGAGACACGGCCCAGACUCCUACGGGAGGCAGCAGUGGGGAAUUUUGGACAGUGGGCGCAAGCCUGAUCCAGCCAUGCCGCGUGUGUGAAGAAGGCCUUCGGGUUGUAAAGCACUUUCGGACGGAACGAAAUCGCACGGGCGAAUAUCCCGUGUGGAUGACG
RNAcentral lists this ribosomal RNA (463 nucleotides) under uncultured bacterium. Its description in RNAcentral is "bacterial SSU rRNA". It matches the Rfam family "Bacterial small subunit ribosomal RNA", at positions 16 to 474 of the family's 1533-position model. The record is from RNAcentral.